GGACCUGACUGCUAUCGGAUUGAUACUAAGCCAUGCGAGUCAUUGUAGCAAUACAAGGCAGACGGCUCAGUAACGCGUAGUCAACCUACCCUAUGGACGGGAAUAACCUCGGGAAACUGAGUAUAAUGCCCGAUAGAACAUUAUACCUGGAAUGGUUUAUGUUCCAAAUGAUUUAUCGCCGUAGGAUGGGACUGCGGCCUAUCAGUUUGUUGGUGAGGUAAUGGCCCACCAAGACUAUUACAGGUACGGGCUCUGAGAGGAGUGGCCCGGAGAUGGGUACUGAGACACGGGCCCAGGCCCUAUGGGGCGCAGCAGGCGAGAAAACUUUGCAAUGUGCGAAAGCACGACAAGGUUAAUCCGAGUGGUUUCUGCUAAAGGAACCUUUUGUCAGUCCUAGAAACACUGAUGAAUAAGGGGUGGGCAAGUUCUGGUGU
RNAcentral lists this ribosomal RNA (434 nucleotides) under uncultured archaeon. RNAcentral's name for it is "bacterial SSU rRNA". It matches the Rfam family "Archaeal small subunit ribosomal RNA", at positions 19 to 458 of the family's 1478-position model. The record is from RNAcentral.